AGCGCGCGCGCACGAGCACGGCCCUGCGCGCCGCUCACUGCCCUCACGUGCGCGGCCCGCUCGCGGCUGCGCGCUCAUGCGCCGCUCGGCAAGGACGACGGCUCAGGCUGUUCGCGGUCGUUUCCUCAGGGCCCCCCGAGAGCCGAGGGGGCGGACACCCUCCAUUCUCUCAGCUCCGCACGGCUGACCGGGUGGGCCGCGGGAGGACACAGAGGGGCAGUGAGGGGUGGCUCCGCGCGAGCCCAAGGCCGAUCAGAGGCGCAGGAAACCUGGAGGGCCCGGCUGCCACCUUCAGCGCGUGCCCGCCGCCCCGCCCCUUCCCUCCGUCAGGGGAGCGACAACGCGCAGGCCCGAGGCGUGGCCCCCGCCCCGCGCAUGCGUGCGAGGAUCUGUGCGCUCCCGCCGGCCCGCACGAGGGCGGGGCAGGUCAGGUAGCCUGUGUGUGGCCGCUGCCUCGGUCUCUGACCCAGGCGUGACAGCUACCGGCACCAGGAGACCAGAGGCUUCCCGAGGACCCGCGGCAACGUGUGAUGCCGGAAUACGAAAGAAGCUAACCUCAAAGUCAGGCUUUAAAACCAUGCCCUGGCCUGUUGGGACUGGCUUUUACUUCAAGGAAGUACAACUCCUGCACCAAAGCAACAUGGACCCUCCCUGGGCCAGCACUUGAAGAAGUCUCUGCCCGUUCCUCCUCCAGCUGGGCCCAUACUCACAAGGAGUCCUUAAGAUCAAGAUGCAGAUAAGAUGCUGGAUGCCCAGAAGCCGUGGCUUUUAUCAGUGCCCCAUUUCCUUGUGACCAGGACUGGCCUGGGUGAGGACUGAAGUGCUGCCCUCCCACAGCACCACCUGGAACAGGCCAUCCUGAAGAGAUGGAUGCUAAGGCCAGUUAGCACCCUGUUUUGCUAAUUGGAUGUGGCGGUGUAUGCCUGUAAUCUUACCACUCUGUGAGGCUGAUGCAGGAGGAUUCCAAGUUUGAGCCCAGCCUGGGCAACUUCAUGACUUCGUAAGACCUGUCUCAAAAUGAAAAAGAGGUGGGGAUGUGGAUUUGGGUUCAAUCCCUUAUACUGCCAAGAAAAUAAAGUUUGAACUAUUGUCUGAUGUCUUAGUCGAUUUUGUUGCUAUAAAAAAAUAGCUGAUGCAAAGGGGU
This is a non-coding RNA of Heterocephalus glaber (naked mole-rat), 1144 nucleotides long. Lineage: Eukaryota; Metazoa; Chordata; Mammalia; Rodentia; Bathyergidae. The record is from RefSeq and is a predicted model, not a curated record.